RNAcentral lists this ribosomal RNA (254 nucleotides) under uncultured bacterium. RNAcentral describes it as "partial 16S ribosomal RNA". It matches the Rfam family "Bacterial small subunit ribosomal RNA", at positions 524 to 776 of the family's 1533-position model. The record is from RNAcentral.
UACAGAGGGUGCGAGCGUUGUUCGGAAUUAUUGGGCGUAAAGGGCGCGUAGGCGGUGCGGUAAGUCACCUGUGAAAUCUCCUGGCUCAACUGGGAGCUUGCAGGCGAAACUGCCGUGCUGGAGUGUGGGAGAGGUGCGUGGAAUUCCUGGUGUAGCGGUGAAAUGCGUAGAUAUCAAGGAGGAACACCUGUGGCGAAAGCGGCGCACUGGACCACAACUGACGCUGAGGCGCGAAAGCUAGGGGAGCAAACAGG